GUGCUUCUUCGGCAGCACAUAUGCUAACAUUGGAACGAUACAGAGAAGAUUAGCAUGGCCCUUGUGCAAGGGUGACACGCAAAUCCGUGAAGCAUUCCAUAUUUUU
Molecule: small nuclear RNA, 106 nt
Organism: Fukomys damarensis (Damara mole-rat)
Lineage: Eukaryota; Metazoa; Chordata; Mammalia; Rodentia; Bathyergidae
Source: Ensembl